AACGAACGCUGGCGGCAUGCCUAACACAUGCAAGUCGAACGAAGGCUUCGGCCUUAGUGGCGCACGGGUGAGUAACACGUGGGAACCUGCCUUCUGGUUCGGGAUAACGUUUGGAAACGAACGCUAACACCGGAUAAGCCCUUCGGGGGAAAGUUUACGCCAGGAGAGGGGCCCGCGUCCGAUUAGGUAGUUGGUGAGGUAACGGCUCACCAAGCCGACGAUCGGUAGCUGGUCUGAGAGGAUGAUCAGCCACACUGGGACUGAGACACGGCCCAGACUCCUACGGGAGGCAGCAGUGGGGAAUAUUGGACAAUGGGCGCAAGCCUGAUCCAGCAAUGCCGCGUGAGUGAUGAAGGCCUUAGGGCUGUAAAGCUCUUUCGCACGUGACGAUGAUGACGGUAACGUGAGAAGAAGCCCCGGCUAACUUCGUGCCAGCCGCCGCAGUAA
RNAcentral lists this ribosomal RNA (447 nucleotides) under uncultured bacterium. Its description in RNAcentral is "partial 16S ribosomal RNA". It matches the Rfam family "Bacterial small subunit ribosomal RNA", at positions 29 to 523 of the family's 1533-position model. The record is from RNAcentral.